Molecule: long non-coding RNA, 711 nt
Filed under: Helicoverpa zea (corn earworm)
Lineage: Eukaryota; Metazoa; Arthropoda; Insecta; Lepidoptera; Noctuidae
Description: uncharacterized LOC124633841
Source: RNAcentral
UUGUACUUUCCUAGCUCUAAGAAUAGGUUAGAAAUUAAAAAAAAAUACAAAUAAUUACAAUAGAUUUAUUCUAAAAUUAAUAAAACACCUAAAGUAAACUAAAAUAAAUGAAAUAAAAAAUUAUAAUAUAUUAAAAUUAACAUAAUUCAUAUACGGAACCCAAUAUUAAUUAUUUACACAAAGGUCCUCGUAACUAUUGCGCCUACGCAUCUCUAAACGGGUGAACUGGUUUCGCCGCGCGCGACGGUGGUGCCUCGAGUGCAUUCGGGGCCGAGACGCAGGAGACGACCAAAUUGCAUCAGACGUGACGGCUGUGUCACACGUUUUUUUACUUGACCUUCAGUAUUGCGUACCUGUCUAAUUUCUACUUAUUUGUGCUAGACAAAUUAUAAUCGGAAAUCCCGCUGGGGAUUUAUUUCUACGUUGGAUAUUUCUACGUUGGAUAUUUCUACGUUCGAUUUUCUACGUUCCUCUUUAAACCCUCGCUACGCAACGUUCUUCCUGGCGGCGAGUGAAAGACCAGACCUGAUCCUGUCUGGAACUACCUGGGUCCUGCUGGAGACCUGGAAGUGCAACCUGGGAAGGAGCUGGGCCGUCGUCGGAGCUACACCACGGUUCAGGCCAGUGUUCCCAGUGUACCUUCUACCUCGAGAUCUAUUCGUGGUUAGGGCAACAGAAGUUGGCUUAAAUAAAGUCUCAAUUUCUACCAAA